UACGUAGGGGGCGAGCGUUGUCCGGAGUUACUGGGCGUAAAGGGCGCGCAGGCGGUCUGGCAAGUUUGGAGUGACAGUGCUCGGCUUAACUGAGCAAGGCCUUCGAAAACUGCUAGACUUGAGCACUCAAGAGGGACAUAGAAUUCCGGGUGGAGUGGUGAAAUGCGUAGAUAUCCGGAGGAAUACCAAAGGCGAAGGCAGUGUCCUGGGGAGUGUCUGACGCUCAGGCGCGAAAGCUAGGGGAGCGAACGGG
RNAcentral lists this ribosomal RNA (253 nucleotides) under uncultured bacterium. RNAcentral describes it as "partial 16S ribosomal RNA". It matches the Rfam family "Bacterial small subunit ribosomal RNA", at positions 524 to 776 of the family's 1533-position model. The record is from RNAcentral.